CAAUAGCGUAUAUUAACGUUGUUGCAGUUAAAAAGCUCGUAGUUGGAUUUCUGGAGGGAGCGUCGGCCCGUAUUUACGAGUGCGUGACGUCUCUGUCCAUCCUUGCGGGAAAGCACGGCAUUGAUUUGUUGUGUCGGAUCGCAUCAUUUACUGUGAAAAAAUUAGAGUGUUCAAAGCAGGCUUUCGCUUGAAUACAUUAGCAUGGAAUAAUAAGAUAGGACUUUGGUGCUAUUUUGUUGGUUGAGCCUAAAGUAAUGAUUAAUAGGGAUAGUUGGGGGCACCUGUAUUGCGUUGUCAGAGGUGAAAUUCUUGGAUUUACGCAAGACAAACAGCUGCGAAAGCGUCUGCCAAGGAUGUUUUCAUUAA
RNAcentral lists this ribosomal RNA (366 nucleotides) under uncultured eukaryote. RNAcentral describes it as "partial 18S ribosomal RNA". It matches the Rfam family "Eukaryotic small subunit ribosomal RNA", at positions 592 to 976 of the family's 1831-position model. The record is from RNAcentral.